Molecule: long non-coding RNA, 3642 nt
Filed under: Salmo salar (Atlantic salmon)
Lineage: Eukaryota; Metazoa; Chordata; Actinopteri; Salmoniformes; Salmonidae
Description: lncRNA (ENSSSAG00000100040.1)
Source: RNAcentral
GUUUGUAGACUCGACCUUUUGCCAAAGUUUCAAGAAAUGUUGUUUAGAAGGAUUUCAAGGGCGAAUCGAGAGAACGCCUUUGCUUCACGGAGAAGGCGUUACCUAACGAAAAUAUGCAAUUACAUGCUAAAUUACGCCAAUAGGAUCUCGCUAGCUCGUGCUUAACUCUCUCCACCUCCUUGCUUGUUCUCCCCACUAUGCUUGCUUGCCUUCGUUUGCUCUCAUUAGAAACGACCCUGAUUAAAUAUCUUGGAAUUCUGAAAAUGGAUGAUGAAGUUCUGGACUGGACAGGCACACAAGUGGAACUGCAGAAUGAAUAGACCAAUGUAAGAACCAAGCCAGGUCAGUUGUACCAAAACCAAUCACAAGACAGACAAACACAUCUUUCUCGCCUUUGUUCAAUAGCACUACCCUCUUCCAGCUGAAUCACAUCCAUCAUGGACAAAACAGCCUGGCCAGCUCCACUGACCAAUCAGACUUCCGAGGAGGAACGCAUUCAUCCUUCAAUGUGAGCACAGCAAGACGCUGCUGAAUGGAAUGAUGAUAUUUGUUACAUUCAAGUUCUGCAAAAUAGACUAACAACUGUGAAUCACUGAGAUGCCCUGAUUAGACUUUUGUUGUAAAUGUUGUAAGAUACACAAGACACUUUUUAAAAGUGUGUGUGCCUUUUGAAGUGAAUUUGAUUGUAAGACAUGAAAUGAAAGGUCAUGCCCCUUUAAUUGUGCUUCAUAAAGCCGUAAAGCUCAUGGCUGCAAUCAAUGUUAGAUGUUACUUUAUCCCUAGGGUUACCCUAAGGGGAUUGUUAUGGUUUUAUCCUAGACUAGUCAAUAAACAGUUUUAGUCAACAUGAAGUUUAUAAUAAUUGAUUAAUAGUUUUAAGUCAUACAAAUUGUGGAAUGAUCAUUUUGGUGCAUGUCAAAUAGUGAGCUAAUAUGUCACUGUAUAAUAACAGCAAUAAUGGAUUACAUUGCAUCAAAACCACACUAUUUGAACCAAUGAGUUAAAGAUUAAGUGUUAAAGAUUUAUAAUCUACAUAUGAACUAAAUCAUUUUUGUUUCUUUUGUGAGAAACCCCAAUAUGUGUUGUUGUAACAAUUCAGUUAUAUACAUUUUUGUUGUUGAUUUGAUUUAGAUUUGACUGUUUUUCUUUUGUGAUUCAUAGAAGACUAUCAUGGGCGGGUUCCACCAGAUGUCAUAUCUUACUAUCUUAAUUAUUUUGGUGAAAUGGGUGAUGAACUAAUAGUGACUAAACAGGUCUUGGAAAAGAGUCUGUAAAAAUGUCUUAUACAGAAAUAAUAAUUAUUAGUCUAGAGCGCCAUCUACUGACAUAAUACUGUAUUGUACAACAAAGGCAGCCUUGUCUGAACGUUAUUCUGUACCCACUAGGGUUGGGGUCAAUUUCUAACUGUAUUUGAAUGACUGUAAACCAGUGGCCCUAAAGGUGGCUGUUAUGAAACAUAUGUAAAGACAUUGCGGUUUAAAUGAAGGAGGGCUAGGCCCUACACCUGUACCUGGCAACAAAGUCUACUCAAAAUUAAACACUUUUGGCUAAAAACAAUCUAGAAUCGUGGAAAGCUCUGCGUUAAGGUAUAAUAUAGAUAAACACAUGUUUUUUCCCUAGUCUUCCGCCAUUUGUAUUUGUUUCCUGUUCAAACAAUGCCACGGUGUGUUUCGUUCAAGAACUUCAAUUGACUUUCAAUGAUUUUUCCCUCCCUCCCUCCAUUUCUUUAUUUUUAUUUAAUUAAAUGUGUUAUGUGUAUGAGGUUGAGAUAUGACCUGUGGGCUUAUGGUGUAUGUCAGUAGGUAUAUACAGAGAAUUUAAAAUACCAUUAUACAGAUUCCCAGAUCCCAGUCUAUAGCUUUAAAGAGAUUUUUGUUGUUGUAACUAUAUACAUCUAAAAUCAUUCUGAGAUGAGAACGGAGCAGAAGACACAUUUCUAUUGUUCGCUGUAACACAUGGAAAACAAAGUUGUAUUCUAUUCUUGGAGACAUGCCCUUUAUGUCUUAAUCAGACAGCAGUACAUGUUUUGCCCGAGAGGCUUGAGUAGGCUGGAGUAGGAAGUCAAAACAAAAAGGCAGUGACUGUCAGCUGCUACAGAGUCACACAGUGUUCACAGAAUGUCAUCAAUGCAAUAUAACAGUGAAUAAUCAGUGUGUCCUUGGCCCUUGUACCUCCAGUCUGGCUUCAAUCACUCAACAGAAAUGAGAAUAAUUCAUAACAUUCAGUAUCAAAUCUGCACUCUUAGAACAAAAGGUGCUUCAGUUUGUCCCCAUAGGGGAGCCCUUUUUGGUGCUAGGUAGAACCUUUUGCAGAGGAUUCUACCUAGACCUAGAACCCUCUAUGAAGGAUUCUUCAUAGACCCCUCCAUGAAAGGUUCUUCCUAGAACCCUCUAUCUUCUGAAGGUUUUUUCUAGGGCCCUCUGUGAAGGGUGUAAAGCCUUAUUUGUAUAUUUCCCUGUGUGCAUUUCGAGUGAAUUGUAGAGUUACUGUACCACCCAUGACUGUGUUUGUUAGUGACAGAGACUUGGUUGUUGCAUUCAGUGGCUUUCAAUCCUGUAGCCUCCAUCAAGUGAGUGCCUAAGUGAAUAUGUUAUCAUAACAUUUAAACUCUUUAUAACAAUACAGGCUAAGUCACACCUGAUGUAGCCUGCAUAUAGAGUGAGGAUAUCCAACAAUUGGAACUUUUAAUCACCUGCCACCCACAUUCAGAAUGACUUUCAAGGUAGGGAAGAGUGAUACAUGAGACUACCUAAACCAGGGAUGGGCAACUUUGAUGGGGAUGGGAGCCACAAAAAAAUCUGAACUCAUCAUGAGGGGGUGCAGUGGCUUGCAGGUCUGCGUAACCACAUCCAUACCCACACAUGCAGUCAACUGAUUUGUGCAAUCAAUGCAUUUGUGCAGUUAAACUACUUAACUCUAUUAAGGAAAUGCUUUAUACCAGUAGCCAAGGCUGAGCCUAGCCUUUUGCAGGCCCAAAGAGAGAUUUGAUUGGGGGACCCCCCACCUUGCGGGCAAAUAAUUUUGAUGCCCCCAUCUUGACAGUGGAAAGAAAAAUGUACGUUUUAAAGUCAAAGACAUGCUCUGGAAAUGUGGCGAAUACAAAUUAUUUUUUAAACCUCCGCUUUGGGCUGGAUGUGUCAAUGUGAAGUUCAUACAUGCAUAAUCUAUUCGCUGAAUUACUGUUUUACCUCAAUUAGCCACGAAAUCCCUAGAUUGAAAGUGACUGUUUUUCUGGAAGCUGUGUGGCUCAAUUUUCCCAAAAUGUUCCCCCAUGUGGGCCAGCCCCCUAGCAAUUCGAGUUCUAGCCAAUGAGCUACAGCCCCUCCCCAUUGGGGUGACAGCUAGCAAGAUGCAUACACAGCAGAGCGAGAGAGCACAAUGACGUGGUGCACAUAUCUGCACAUAUGUGACAUAGUAUGCAAUGCUCUAAAUGCCUGGUAGGUAUUCGGCCAUGAUUUCUACAAGUUUAGACAGUUGGCUAGACUAAUUUGCCAAUAAAAAAUUGUUGACAUGGCUAAUUGAGGUCCCGAGUGGCGCAGCGGUCUAAGGCAGUGCUAGAGGCAUCACUUUAUACCCUGGUUCGAUUCGAGGCUGUAUCACAACCGGCUGUGAUUGGGAGUCCCAGAGGACGGCGCACGAUUG